GUGUCAGCAGCCGCGGUAAUACGGAGGGUGCGAGCGUUAAUCGGAAUUACUGGGCGUAAAGCGCAUGCAGGUGGUCUGUUAAGUCAGAUGUGAAAGCCCGGGGCUUAACCUCGGAAUAGCAUUUGAAACUGGCAGGCUAGAGUACUGUAGAGGGGGGUAGAAUUUCAGGUGUAGCGGUGAGAUGCGUAGAGAUCUGAAGGAAUACCGGUGGCGAAGGCGGCCCCCUGGACAGAUACUGACACUCAGAUGCGAAAGCGUGGGGAGCAAACAGGAUUAGAAACCCCGGUAGUCC
RNAcentral lists this ribosomal RNA (292 nucleotides) under uncultured prokaryote. Its description in RNAcentral is "partial 16S ribosomal RNA". It matches the Rfam family "Bacterial small subunit ribosomal RNA", at positions 505 to 796 of the family's 1533-position model. The record is from RNAcentral.